ACGGGGUGCAGCAGGCGCGAAACCUCCACAAUUCACGCAAGUGAGAUGGGGUUACCUCGAGUGCUAUCUGAAGAAGGUGGCUUUUCCAUGGUGUAAUGAGCCGUGGGAAUAAGGGGGGGGCAAGACUGGUGUCAGCCGCCGCGGUAACACCAGCCCCACGAGUGGUGGGGAUGAUUAUUUGGCCUAAAGCGUCCGUAGCCAGCUCGGUAAAUCUCUCGUUAAAUCCAGCGUCCUAAGCGUUGGGCUGCGAGGGAAACUGCCGAACUAGAGGGUGGGAGAGGUCAGCGGUAUUCCUGGGGUAGGGGCGAAAUCCAUUGAUCCCAGGAGGACCACCAGUGGCGAAGGCUGCUGACUAGAACACGCCUGACGGUGAGGGACGAAAGCUGGGGUAGCGAAUCGGAUUAGAUACCCGAGUAGUCCCAGCCGUAAACGAUGCAGGCUAGGUGUUGGGUCGGCCAUGCGCCGCCUCAGUGCCACAGGGAAGCCAUUAAGCCUGCCGCCUGGGGAGUACGGCCGCAAGGCUGAAACUUAAAGGAAUUGGCGGGGGAGCACCACCAGGCGUGAAGCCUGCGGUUUAAUUGGAGUCAACGCCGGGAACCUUACCGGGAGCGACAGCAGAGUGAAGGCCAGGCUGAAGGUCUUGCCAGACGAGCUGAGAGGAGGUGCAUGGCCGUCGCCAGUUCGUGCCGUGAGGUGUCCUCU
This 702-nucleotide ribosomal RNA is filed under the name uncultured archaeon. RNAcentral describes it as "bacterial SSU rRNA". It matches the Rfam family "Archaeal small subunit ribosomal RNA", at positions 325 to 1029 of the family's 1478-position model. The record is from RNAcentral.